UACACGUGAGUAACCUGUCCUAGUCUUUGGGAUAACCUUCGGAAACGGGGGCUAAUACCGGAUAUUCCUGUCUUCACGCAUGUGGGGGUGGGGAAAGCUUUUGCGGAUUGGGGUGGGCUCGCGGCCUACCAGCUUGUUGGUGGGGUGAUGGCCUACCAAGGCUUUGACGGGUAGCCGGCCUGAGAGGGCGACCGGCCACACUGGGACUGAGACACGGCCCAGACUCCUACGGGAGGCAGCAGUUGGGAAUAUUGCACAAUGGACGCAAGUCUGAUGCAGCGACGCCGUGUGAGGGAUGACGGCCUUCGGGUUGUAAACCUCUUUCGCCAGGGACGAAGCCGGCUUGUCCGGUGACGGUACUUGGAGAAGAAGCGCCGGCCAACUACGUGCCAGCAGCCGCGGUAAGACGUAGGGCGCGAGCGUUGUCCGGAUUUAUUGGGCGUAAAGAGCUCGUAGGCGGCUCAUUGCGUCAACCGUGAAAACCAGCAGCUCAACUGUUGGCUUGCGGUUGAUACGGGUGGGCUGGAGUUCGGUAGGGGAGACUGGAAUUCCUGGUGUAGCGGUGAAAUGCGCAGAUAUCAGGAGGAACACCGGUGGCGAAGGCGGGUCUCUGGGCCGAUACUGACGCUGAGGAGCGAAAGCGUGGGGAGCGAACAGGAUUAGAUACCCUGGUAGUCCACGCUGUAAACGUUGGGCGCUAGGUGUGGGGACCUUCCACGGUUUCCGCGCCGUAGCUAACGCAUUAAGCGCCCCGCCUGGGGAGUACGGCCGCAAGGCUAAAACUCAAACGAAUUGACGGGGGCCCGCACAAGCGGCGGAGCAUGUUGCUUAAUUCGACGCAACGCGAAGAACCUUACCAAGGCUUGACAUUGCCCGGAAACACUCAGAGAUGGGUGCCUCUUCGGAUCGGAUGACAGGUGGUGCAUGGCUGUCGUCAGCUCGUGUCGUGAGAUGUUGGGUUAAGUCCCGCAACGAGCGCAACCCUUGUUCAAUGUUGCCAGCACGCUCCUUCGGGGGUGGUGGGGACUCAUUGGAGACUGCCGGGGUCAACUCGGAGGAAGGUGGGGAUGACGUCAAGUCAUCAUGCCCCUUAUGUCUUGGGCUGCAAACAUGCUACAAUGGCCGGUACAGAGGGCUGCGAUACCGCAAGGUGGAGCGAAUCCCUGAAAGCCGGUCUCAGUUCGGAUUGGGGUCUGCAACUCGACCCCAUGAAGUCGGAGUCGCUAGUAAUCGCAGAUCAGCAACGCUGCGGUGAAUACGUUCCCGGGCCUUGUACACACCGCCCGUCACGUCACGAAAGUCGGCAACACCCGAAGCCCGUGGCCCAACCAGCUUGCUGGGGGGAGCGGUCGAAGGUGGGGCUGGCGAUUGGGACGAAGUCGAAACAAGGUA
This 1392-nucleotide ribosomal RNA is filed under the name metagenome. RNAcentral's name for it is "bacterial SSU rRNA". It matches the Rfam family "Bacterial small subunit ribosomal RNA". The record is from RNAcentral.